GGAAGGAUCAUUAACUCGAUUCUAAAACACAUCUUACCUCUUGAGGAGGUGAAUCAGGCAGGCUUAAAAACCCUGUCGAUCACUAAAAUUACAGGGAGUCUAGAGAGUCCUGGCCAGGCUUCUUUAGGCUCUUCUUCCUUACCCUAUUAAAUGUAAUUCAUUUAACAAACCAAGUCAUACAACGUUAUAAGGUGGAUGACUCGGCUCACGUAUCGAUGAAGGACGCAGCUAACCGCGAAAGCUGGUGUAAGUCGCAUAAGUCCAACAGAUCAUCGAACCCUCCGAAUGCAGACUGCGCCUUAGGGAUUUAUCUCUGAGGCCUAUCUCUUUGAGCGGGGAUAACUGCCCUCAAAAAGCACUUAUCUUCUCGCAGCCUCGGAGUAACCUUCUUACAGAUAACUCCAGGUUUGGGAGCUUGUCAUAUGCACUCUCCCGAAUUGCGCUUGAAAGGCUCAGCUUUUUCGGCAAAAACUCGUCGAUUGAAUUCAUUUUCUCGGUGAAACUUUGCUACUUGCGAGCCUAGCUCUUACGCAAUUUAACUCCCCAUCAAAUGAGGUAGGAUAAUCCCGUGAACUUAAGCAUAUCAUUAGCGGGAAGAAAAGAAAUCAACUGAGAUGCCAUUAGUAGCGGCGAGCGAAAGUGGCAUAGCCCAUCCCGAAUCUCUGGAGACUAGUCUCUUCAGCGACAUGUGGGGUAUCAGUCCAUCUAAACUCGGUGUCCUAGCCGACGAAUUCAGCUGGAAAGCUGGACCAUAGAAGGUGACAGUCCUGUAAUCGGCUAGGAUGUCGGGGUCAAUUGGUGGUACUGUGGAGUAGGGCUGUUUGAGAGUACAGUCCGAAGCGGGUGGUAUGUUCCAUCCAAGGCUAAAUAAGGGCGUGAGACCGAUAGCAAACAAGUACCGCGAGGGAAAGUUGAAAAGGACUUUGGAAAGAGAGUCAAAAGAACCUGAAACCUUAUACCGGAAAGGCCUUCUUGUACAACUGCGUGCCUUGAGCGUCGUGACUCGGCGCGGCACUGGUCGGAUUGCAUGACUGCACUAGGGUAAAUCCAGUAGGUUAUGCAAGUGUCUGGCCAGCUAGCCGCGUUUAUUUCACGGCGUGGCUGACCGCGGUCGGCUGCACAUAGGCUAACAGGGCUGGGGAUCGGUAGUUGUCUUGUACAGCGACGUCCCUGGAUCACCGACUUGCCUGAUUCUGCGGCCGAGGAAAAAAACGUAGGGGAGUGGUCUUCUUGGGCUGCGUAUCACUUGGGACUGCCGUGCUGUCACCUGCUUGCAGGUGGCGGUGCGUGUAAGCCAAUGUGGUGUGUUGUUCCGAAACUCUCCACGACUCGCGGGAUGUUGGAAAGAAGGCUCCCGUCUUGAAACACGGACCAAGGAGUGCAUUUCUAGUGCAAGGCGAAGGGAAGGGAUUCCUUAGCCGUAGCGAAAGCAAAUUGAUAGAUACUGAGGUCUCUGGACCGAAGUUGCAUAUCGGCCCUGUGGACGUUCUUUUAAGAUGUCCAUUGCGGUUGAGUAUUAGAAAUGCGACCCGAAAGAUGGCGAACUAUGCUUGUGUAAGGCGAAGUCAGAAGAAAUUCUGAUGGAGGCUUGAAGCGUUGUUGACGUGCAAAUCACUCGUCGAACAUGAGUAUAGCGGCGAAAGACUAAUCGAGCCGUCUAGUAGCUGGUUUCCUC
This 1675-nucleotide unclassified non-coding RNA is filed under the name Metazoa environmental sample. Its description in RNAcentral is "sequence contains 18S rRNA gene, ITS1, 5.8S rRNA gene, ITS2, 28S rRNA gene". The stretch from base 542 to 1675 matches the Rfam family "Eukaryotic large subunit ribosomal RNA", at positions 1 to 961 of the family's 3401-position model. The record is from RNAcentral. Lineage: Eukaryota; Metazoa.